This is a Y RNA of Callithrix jacchus (white-tufted-ear marmoset), 98 nucleotides long. It matches the Rfam family "Y RNA". Rfam says of the family: Y RNAs are components of the Ro ribonucleoprotein particle (Ro RNP), in association with Ro60 and La proteins. The Y RNAs and Ro60 and La proteins are well conserved, but the function of the Ro RNP is not known. NCBI's taxonomy places the organism in Eukaryota, Metazoa, Chordata, Mammalia, Primates, Cebidae. The record is from Ensembl.
GGCUGGUGUGAAUGGCAGUGGGAUGUCAGAACUUACCUUAGUGUCACUGUAGUUGGCAUACAACCCGCCCCCCCACUGCUAAAUUUGACUGGCCUUUU